This is a non-coding RNA of Pelobates cultripes (western spadefoot toad), 209 nucleotides long. NCBI's taxonomy places the organism in Eukaryota, Metazoa, Chordata, Amphibia, Anura, Pelobatidae. The record is from the annotation of a GenBank genome assembly.
AGAAUACCUCUGCAUCAAAGACUGCUAUGGGAAUAAAAGGAGAAAAAGUCAUGGUGUGGCCUCCAUCCUCCCCUGACCUCAAUCCUAUUGAGAACCUUUGGAUCAUCCUCAAGCAAAAGAUCUAUGAGGGCGGGAGGCAGUUUACAUCCAAACAGCAGCUCUGGGAGGAUAUACUGACAUCUUGCAAACAAAUUCAAGCAGAAACUGUC